CCUACGGGUGGCAGCAGUGGGGAAUAUUGCACAAUGGGGGAAACCCUGAUGCAGCGACGCCGCGUGAGUGAAGAAGUAUCUCGGUACGUAAAGCUCUAUCAGCAGGGAAGAAAAUGACGGUACCUGACUAAGAAUCCCCGGCUAACUACAUGCCAGCAGCCGCGGUAAUACGUAGGGGGCAAGCGUUAUCCGGAUUUACUGGGGGUAAAGGGAGCGUAGGCGGCAGCACAAGUCUGGAGUGAAAUCCCGGGGCUUAACCCCGGAACUGCGUUGGAAACUGGGCGGCUGGAGUGGAGGAGGGGUAAGCGGAAUGCGUGGUGUAGCGGUGAAAUGCGUAGAUAUUAGGAGGAACACCGAUGGCGAAGGCGGCUUACUGGACUGUAACUGACGUUGAGGCUCGAAAGCGUGGGGAGCAAACAGGAUUAGAUACCCUGGUAGUC
Molecule: ribosomal RNA, 440 nt
Filed under: uncultured bacterium
Lineage: Bacteria
Description: partial 16S ribosomal RNA
Rfam family: Bacterial small subunit ribosomal RNA
Source: RNAcentral